CCUUACCUACCCUUGACAUGCCAGGAACUUGCCAGAGAUGGCUUGGUGCUCGAAAGAGAGCCUGGACACAGGUGCUGCAUGGCCGUCGUCAGCUCGUGUCGUGAGAUGUUGGGUUAAGUCCCGCAACGAGCGCAACCCUUGUCAUUAGUUGCUACGAAAGGGCACUCUAAUGAGACUGCCGGUGACAAACCGGAGGAAGGUGGGGAUGACGUCAGGUCCUCAUGGCCCUUAUGGGUAGGGCCACACACGUCAUACAAUGGCCGGGACAGAGGGCUGCCAACCCGCGAGGGGGAGCUAAUCCCAGAAACCCGGUCGUAGCCCGGAUCGUAGUCUGCAACUCGACUGCGUGAAGUCGGAAUCGCUAGUAAUCGCGGAUCAGCUUGCCGCGGUGAAUACGUUCCCGGGUCUUGUACACACCGCCCGUCACACCAUGGGAGCGG
This 440-nucleotide ribosomal RNA is filed under the name uncultured bacterium. RNAcentral's name for it is "bacterial SSU rRNA". It matches the Rfam family "Bacterial small subunit ribosomal RNA", at positions 969 to 1413 of the family's 1533-position model. The record is from RNAcentral.